This 73-nucleotide transfer RNA is filed under the name Mustela putorius furo (domestic ferret). It matches the Rfam family "tRNA". From Rfam's summary of the family: Transfer RNA (tRNA) molecules are approximately 80 nucleotides in length. Their secondary structure includes four short double-helical elements and three loops (D, anti-codon, and T loops). The record is from Rfam by way of RNAcentral. Lineage: Eukaryota; Metazoa; Chordata; Mammalia; Carnivora; Mustelidae.
ACCUAUCUUGCUCAGUUGGUAGAGCACCUGACUCUUGAUCUUGGGGUUGUGAGUUUGAGUCCCAUAUUGGGUG